GACGAACGCUGGCGGCGUGCUUAACACAUGCAAGUCGAACGGAAAGGCCAGUGCUUGCACUGGUACUCGAGUGGCGAACGGGUGAGUAACACGUGGGUGAUCUGCCUUGCACUCUGGGAUAAGCUUGGGAAACUGGGUCUAAUACCGGAUAUGAACUGCCUUUAGUGUGGUGGUUGGAAAGUUUUUUCGGUGCAAGAUGAGCUCGCGGCCUAUCAGCUUGUUGGUGGGGUAAUGGCCUACCAAGGCGUCGACGGGUAGCCGGCCUGAGAGGGUGUACGGCCACAUUGGGACUGAGGUAGGGCCCAGACGCCUACGGGAGGCAGCGGUGGGGAAUAUUGCACAAUGGGCGGAAGCCUGAUGCAGCGACGCCGCGUGGGGGAUGACGGCCUUCGGGUUGUAAACUCCUUUCGACAGGGACGAAGCGUAAGUGACGGUACCUGUAGAAGAAGCACCGGCUAACUACGUG
This 466-nucleotide ribosomal RNA is filed under the name uncultured bacterium. Its description in RNAcentral is "partial 16S ribosomal RNA". It matches the Rfam family "Bacterial small subunit ribosomal RNA", at positions 28 to 507 of the family's 1533-position model. The record is from RNAcentral.